AUUGAACGCUGGCGGCAGGCUUAACACAUGCAAGUCGAGCGGUAACAGAGAGAAGCUUGCUUCUCUGCUGACGACCGGCGGACGGGUGAGCAAUGCCUAGGCAUCUGCCUAGUAGUGGGGGAUAACUUGCCGAAAGGUAAGCCAAUACCGCAUAGGUCCUACGGGAGAAAGGAGGGGACCUUCGGGCCUUACGCUCUUAGAUGAGCCUAGGUCGGAUUAGUUAGUUGGUGAGGUAAUGGCUCACCAAGACCGCGAUCCGUAACUGGUCUGAGAGGAUGAUCAGUCACACUGGGACUGAGACACGGUCCAGACUCCUACGGGAGGCAGCAGUGGGGAACAUUGGACAAUGGGGGGAACCCUGAUCCAGCCAUGCCGCGUGUGUGAAGAAGGUCUUAGGAUUGUAAAGCACUUUAAGUUGGGAGGAAGAGCAGUUAACUAAUAUUUGACUGUUUUGACGUUACCGACAGAAUAAGCACCGGCUAACUUCGUGCCAGCCGCCGCAGUAA
Molecule: ribosomal RNA, 506 nt
Filed under: uncultured bacterium
Lineage: Bacteria
Description: partial 16S ribosomal RNA
Rfam family: Bacterial small subunit ribosomal RNA
Source: RNAcentral